RNAcentral lists this ribosomal RNA (428 nucleotides) under Chloroflexota bacterium. RNAcentral's name for it is "Chloroflexi bacterium partial 16S ribosomal RNA". It matches the Rfam family "Bacterial small subunit ribosomal RNA", at positions 355 to 776 of the family's 1533-position model. Lineage: Bacteria; Bacillati; Chloroflexota. The record is from RNAcentral.
UGGGGAAUAUUGCACAAUGGGCGCAAGCCUGAUGCAGCCAUGCCGCGUGUAUGAAGAAGGCCUUCGGGUUGUAAAGUACUUUCAGUCGGGAGGAAGGUGGUAAGGUUAAUAACCUUAUCAAUUGACGUUACCGACAGAAGAAGCACCGGCUAACUCCGUGCCAGCAGCCGCGGUAAUACGGAGGGUGCAAGCGUUAAUCGGAAUUACUGGGCGUAAAGCGCACGCAGGCGGUUGAUUGAGUCAGAUGUGAAAUCCCCGGGCUUAACCCGGGAAUUGCAUCUGAUACUGGUCAGCUAGAGUCUUGUAGAGGGGGGUAGAAUUCCAUGUGUAGCGGUGAAAUGCGUAGAGAUGUGGAGGAAUACCGGUGGCGAAGGCGGCCCCCUGGACAAGACUGACGCUCAGGUGCGAAAGCGUGGGGAGCAAACAGG